RNAcentral lists this small RNA (42 nucleotides) under Anaerobutyricum hallii. RNAcentral's name for it is "CRISPR_Spacer". The record is from RNAcentral. Lineage: Bacteria; Bacillati; Bacillota; Clostridia; Lachnospirales; Lachnospiraceae.
AAUAUUACGCAUAUUGAUCAAAUUUAAUAAUCGCGUUGUGCC